RNAcentral lists this unclassified non-coding RNA (428 nucleotides) under Hevea brasiliensis (rubber tree). Lineage: Eukaryota; Viridiplantae; Streptophyta; Magnoliopsida; Malpighiales; Euphorbiaceae. The record is from RNAcentral.
CACUAACCUGCUCGAGAUCCUCAACGUCCGCGUCAUCGGCGCCGGCGAGCGAGUCCUCGUCCUCUCCCACGGCUUCGGCACCGACCAGUCGGCGUGGAACCGCAUCCUCCCCUAUUUCCAGCGGGACCACCGCAUCGUCCUCUACGACCUCGCCUGCGCCGGCAGCGUUGAUCCCGAUAACUUCGACUUCCGCCGCUACAGCACGCUUGAGGCCUACGUUGAUGAUUUGCUGGAGAUUCUGGCGGCGCUGCGGGUUGAUCGGUGCGCGUUCGUUGGACACUCGGUGUCGGCGAUGAUCGGGAUCAAGGCGGCGAUCCGUCGGCCGGAUUUGUUCUCGAAGCUGGUGCUAAUCAAUGCCUCGCCGAGGUUCCUCAACGACGGCGUCGAAGGGUACCACGGCGGCUUCGAGCGAGGUGAGAUCGAGAAGG